CCUACGGGGUGCAGCAGUGGGGAAUAUUGCACAAUGGGGGAAACCCUGAUGCAGCGACGCCGCGUGAGUGAAGAAGUAUUUCGGUAUGUAAAGCUCUAUCAGCAGGGAAGAAAUAAAGUCCUUCGGACUUUGGACGGUACCUGACUAAGAAGCCCCGGCUAACUACGUGCCAGAAGCCGCGGUAAGACGUAGGGGGCAAGCGUUAUCCGGAUUUACUGGGGGUAAAGGGAGAGUAGACGGCAGGGAAAUUCUGGAGUGAAAUCCCAUGGCUUAACCAUGGAACUGCUUUGGAAACUGUGCAGCUGGAGUGCAGGAGAGGUAAGAGGAAUUUCUAGUGUAGCGGUGAAAUGCGUAGAUAUUAGGAGGAACACCAGUGGCGAAGGCGGCUUACUGGACUGUAACUGACGUUGAGGCUCGAAAGCGUGGGGAGCAAACAGGAUUAGAUACCCGAGUAGUC
Molecule: ribosomal RNA, 457 nt
Filed under: uncultured bacterium
Lineage: Bacteria
Description: partial 16S ribosomal RNA
Rfam family: Bacterial small subunit ribosomal RNA
Source: RNAcentral